Betta splendens (Siamese fighting fish) is the source of this 3318-nucleotide long non-coding RNA. RefSeq lists it as uncharacterized. NCBI's taxonomy places the organism in Eukaryota, Metazoa, Chordata, Actinopteri, Anabantiformes, Osphronemidae. The transcript has 2 exons. The record is from RefSeq and is a predicted model, not a curated record.
ACAGAAUUUCUAGGCGCAGCCAGGGGCCGGAGGGGGUCUGGUUUGGGGACCACAGGACAGCAUCUCUGCUUUUUGCAGAUGAUGUUGUCCUGUUGGCUUCAUCGGGCCAGGACCUCCAGCGUGCGCUGGGGCAGUUUGCAGCUGAGUAUGAAGCGGCUGGGAUGAGAAUCAGUUCCUCCAAAUCUGAGGCCAUGGUUCUCGAUCGGAAAAAGGUGGUUUGCUCUCUCCAGGUUGGAGGAGAGUUCCUGCCCCAAGUGGAGGAGUUGAAGCAUCUUGGGGUCUUGUCACGAGUGAGGGAAGGAGGGAGCGUGAGUUUGACAGACAGAUUGGUGCGGCGGCUGCAGUAAUGCGGUCGGUGUAUCGGUCCGUCUUGGUGAAGAGGGAGCUGAGCCGAAAGGCAAAGCUCUCAAUUUACCGGUCAAUCUACAUUCCUACCCUCACCUAUGGUCAUGAGCUUUGGGUCAUGACCUAAAGGGCAAGGUCACGGAUAUAAGCGACCGAAAUGAGCUUUUAUUCUUUUUUUGCACGUAAAAAAAGGUUAGGGGAAAAGUUGGAAUUCAUUUGUUCCUGUUGACAUGAAUGGAAGCCUGUCACGUUUGAACGUAUGUUCUCUCUAAGAUGAGCACACACACUUUUUCUUACACUAUGAAUCCUGUGGUGACCAGUGGUCAAUGCUACCACUGUACAUUUGUAAAGAACUAAUUUUACUAAUCUGAUUAUAAUGCAGAGGUUUGGACUAAAACUAAAAUGUUGCUCUUGAGAUUUAGCUUCUAGCUAAAAACAAACUGACUAGUUGUAGUGAGGUCACACACUCUAUUCUCUGACAUCAUCUCUUCGGGUCACAUGACCAAGCAAAAUAUCAGAUUUACUGAGCCUGAGUGUGUGAGCCUAGUCUUUAGUGGAGUCUCAACUUUCUGGAGUUCCACCUCCUCCUUCCUCUUCACUGCAUCUGUGAUGUUGAUCCAUGUGAAGGUUGAAGUACAAUCAGCAGCUCAUCCGUGUGUGGGGAAGCGCUGACGCAUGCUGCUGAACGGCGGUGGGCUACAUAACUUUGGGGGAUUAAAACCACAGAACAAUCAGAGGCUCGUUUUCACUCUGGCUCACUGCUACAUGACAGGACAAAACAAAACCACAGAGCAAUAUGUGAGAGACAAAGCAGACACGGGGCUCUGGCUCAGCCAUUUAAUCACUGGGAGGCAGGGCCGUUCAAUUACACAUCCAUCCAACUGGGCAACGGGAGCGCAGCAGGUAAUCACCAAAACAAAUGGAUGCGUUAAGAAACUAAUAAUCUGCCUCUUCUUUGAUUCUUUUUUAAUGUGGUCUCAUCUGACAGAGUCAAUAAAACAGUGGCAAUAUUUCCUUCUCAUUUUUACUGUAAAAACACAGAUUUAGUUACAUCUCAGUGGACAAAACCAACAUGGCUUCCAGGCCUGUUGCCUUCGGCUUAUUGUUGUGAAAGUCCUGUAAAUAUUAGCAGUCACAGAUUGUUCCAUACGCUAAAGUAGAUCCUUACUAUUCAAUAAAGGAUGAGGCGUGUCCUUAUGCUGAUCUAACGGAUCAUACAUUCACGUGGAGUAUGAUACGGAGCUGAAAAAGGUGAAUAUGGUAUAAUUAAAACAAGUGGAAAUGCUGGAUUUGACCUCAAAUAAGGAAUAAUUCAUGGCUUGUUUUGACUCAAUGAGUCACAGGGGCCAUGGCUCAGCAAGGAAAUCAUGCUGUGCUCAGGAUGAUCAUUUCAUUAUGGGGUGUAAAAUUGAUUUCAGGAAGAUUUGGAGAUGCAUCAGUAAAGAAGAUUUAGGGAAUCAUUUCCUCUAAUGAAGCAGCUUUGCCACAACACUGGACGUAUUUUAAACUGGUCUAUAUGCACAAGAAUGUUAACGGAAGUCAAACCUGGAGGAGAAACCUGUUCCAGUCCUCAGCCCCUUCCUGCCCUUUGUUUGCCUCUGUUCCUGCCCUUGACUCUGGCCACACCUCCUCCCUAUCUUCCCAUCUGCCGCCUGCAACCUGCACUGACUGACUCGUUCCACUGGCCUGUGCCUUCUACAUUCUACCUGCUACAUCGUCAGUGUUGUCAGACCAUAUCACACGUUCCUCCAGUCUUGUGAGCCAGCGUUCCUUGCCAGUAGUGCUUUGUCCUCCCAGUCCCAGUGUUUUAGUCUUUGAAUAUGGCAGUGUUUUUGGUUGUUUUGUUCUGUUAAACAUUUUGCCAGUGUGCCUGUCCUUGGGCCCUCAACCUUUUCAGAAGCAUGCAGCUUCAGUGAGCAUCCAGCUGGUGCCUCACUGAUGUCAGGGAUCAUUUAUUAUUCCUUCUGCUUUAUUUGUAGCCUCCUACUGUUACAUAUUGAGGCAAACUGAACUUGAACUGCGCUGACCAUGAGCAGGGAAACAUCAAACGGUCAAAUCUAGAUUGGAGGACCCAAAUGCAACGACCCAGGGAUAAAAAAAUAGAUACAAAUAGUUUAUUUAAAGCUCCCUGAUCAUACAGCUUUUCACUCUAAAGAAUAUUGGACUUUAAUGUCUCAGUAAGGUCUCUGUAAAUUUUCAUCCCAUAAAACCCUGUAGAUCGUCCACACUGCCCCUGUCAAUAUGUGGUUCUCACUCUCCAUCAGCAAACGCUGUGUUUUCUGGGCGUGUCGCAAGCGAAGCUGCUCACCACACCUCUGUGCGGAAGCGCAUACCUUUUUUGUUGUUGUUGUUUUUUGGCUCCAUGGAUACGAGCCACCGCACGGUUAGGAUACUAUAGGUGGCAGUAGUGCGACGUUGAGAAUACAAUCCACCGCAAUCCUCCACAGAAGAAGACGACCCACUACAGAACUGCACGACGUUAGCCAGCCAGCUAGUUCGUAGCGUAGUAGAACCAUACGUCUACGAUCCCGAAUCUGACCCUGAAGCUGAAGAGGAGGCUGUUGAAGUCGCCACAUUUCGGCUGAUGCAAGAUGUCUCAUUGUUGUUACAGGUAUCUAAUCUACAGAGGCUAGUGGGCUGGUGCUGAGGAUUCCUAGGGUGAAGAAUCCGAGUUGCCAUCUCUUCAUGCUUGGGUUGUAGAUGAAGGCAGAGUUUCCUGAUGGAUAAAACACUAAAACACUCAUUGUAUGAUGGAUGUAAACCACCUGUGGAAUAACUCCUUUACCAUUUGAGUAAAAAUGUGUUUUUUGUGAGUGCAAUACUCAAAGAUUUUUUUUAUUUUUUAUUUAUAUAUAAUUUAUAUGCUUUUUAUUUAUGGCCGCUUCAACUUUAUAGCUUACCAUAUUAGAAAGAGAAAAAACAUGUCAUUUCAAUACCAUGAUUUCCUGAAUAAAAGUGUUUUCCCUUCAGAAA